Molecule: ribosomal RNA, 216 nt
Filed under: Glomeromycotina sp.
Lineage: Eukaryota; Fungi; Glomeromycota
Description: partial small subunit ribosomal RNA
Rfam family: Eukaryotic small subunit ribosomal RNA (bases 75-216)
Source: RNAcentral
GGGUCAGUAGGUUGGUCGUGCCACCGGUACGUACUGGUCUCACUGAUUCCUCCUUCCCGAAGAACCGUAAUGCCAUUAAUUUGGUGUUGCGGGGAAACAGGACUGUUACUUUGAAAAAAUUAGAGCGUUUAAAGCAAGCUAACGCUUGAAUACAUUAGCAUGGAAUAAUGAAAUAGGACGAUCGAUCCUAUUUUGUUGGUUUCUAGGAUUGACGUA